This is a non-coding RNA of Drosophila virilis, 5608 nucleotides long. The record is from RefSeq and is a predicted model, not a curated record. NCBI's taxonomy places the organism in Eukaryota, Metazoa, Arthropoda, Insecta, Diptera, Drosophilidae.
UUGGUCACAUUAUUCAGUUUUGCUAUUUCAUUAUGUGUCGUUCGGGCCUAUUGGUUAAAUACCGAAAAAGGUGUUAAUUUAUUGUUAAUUGGAGUUUGAAAAUUUCGUUUAUAAUUGUGUUAGUGCCGUUAAUUGAAAUCGAGUUAUUAAAAUGCUUAUAAUUGCUUUAGAAUUUGAUAUGUUUGCAAGCCACCUGCUGGACGACUAGGAAGAAGAAGCACGCGAAUUUUACGCAGCAAUGCUUAAACGAGCUUAGGAAAUAGGAAAGUGAUCAAUUUCAUGUUUUAAGUGAAAUAAAUUUGUGGUUUUGUGUGUAAUUAGCAAAUACGACUGUUUAAGCGUACACACUUGCAUAUCAAAAGUCGAAGAGUAAAAUAUACAAUUCUAAAGUGCUUUCAACUGUGUGCGUGCGUAUGUACAUAUAUACAUAUGUUUUUACGUAUGUAUGUAAUUCUGUACGCAAGCCGUAGCAGACAACAGUUAUUUGUAUGCAAUACUAUACAAACUUACACACAUGCACACACAUGGAAUUUUUGCUCUUCUUUAACUUUCAUUCUUUGCUUGAAUGAAUGCGAUUCCCAUGCUCAAAUCUUUGCGGUCCGUUAUUCGUUACUUCUGGAGGCCGCCAAAGUGUCUGCUGCUCAUUACCUGCUGUGACCUUGUUUGCAGCGCUUGUUAUGACGUCAUAGCCCUUACUUAUAUUUUACCCGCUUGCUAAAAAUGUAUAUUGUUUAAUCAUGUUUGGACUGGAAAAGUGCAACCUUUAAUAAACGCAUCACUUUGAUUUAUUUGUGGUCUCGUAAGUGCAGUGCUUGGCGCAAUGUUGUGGGCGUGGUUGAGUAUGUCCAGUGUUUCAGUCUGGGUGUUGAGUGGACCCAUUCGUGCGCUGGCGCCUGGACUGUAGCUGGCAAUAACUUCUAAUUAAUACACGAAAAGCAUAACGAAAGCUAAUUAUGAAACUAAUGAGCUUGUUGGCAAUGCACGAGCACCACGAAGCGGGCAACAACAACAACUCGUAACAAGUAAAAGUGCUCCAGUCGGUCGUGCCCGACUAGUGGAUACCUUGUGGCUAAUAUCAAAUAUGAUAUUAUACGCGCAGACGGACAGACAAGCGGACAGACUUGAUUAUGCCUCAAUAUGCAUGUAACAUCCCUUUUCAAUGGGUAUACAGGGUAUAACUGCCUUAAGUGUUAACGACGCUGUGCUUAACAAGGCGAGCGCCGCCGUUCGCAGCCGCUCCAGGUGCGAAAUACCAUGAAAGAGUAAACGCGAAUGGUCGCUGCCUACCUUGGGACAUAGUACACACAUACUUGCAUACACACACACAGGUAUCGCAUACACAUAUACAUAUAUAUAUAUACGGUUAUGUAUGUACAUAUUUCAUUUCAAUUUCCUUUUUGGUUGCGCGUCUUUUUAGCAUACUUGAUUAUGGUCUUUGGCCAGCAGCAGCAGCAGCAGCAGUAGGGGCAGGAGCAGAGGCGGAGACAGCAGCAACAUAAAGAAAGGGGCUGGGCGCUGGACGUCGCCGGCCAUCAGUCACUUAUGCGCACGGCACGUCACUCAAAGCGAACACACACUCCACACGAAUCACACACACACAUACACAUGCACAGACAACACACCCAGCUAAAUAACAGAGCGGGGCACAACGCAGGCAACUUAGUUGCAACCUCGCAGAGCGUCACCCAGUCCAGAGUCGCGGUCUGAACUGAACCGAACUGAACUAAACCUACUCGUCCGCUGCCGCUACUGUCAUUAUCUUGUUAACUUGUUGUUACGUCAGCCGUUCAGUGGGUCUGCUCUUGAGCUUGUAUAUAUUGUAUUGUAGUUGCUAUAUAAGUCCUACAUACUCUGAUGAUCAUUUGAUUGCUGGUAAAACAGCCAGAGGCAGGCGAAGAAGUUUCACGUCAAUCUAAAACAAAUUCGUUGUAUUGCGAGAUAUUUGCAUCGAUUGGUUUAUUUAUAAUUAUUAUGUUUUAGAACAGUAACAGCUUCUUUAAUUCAAUUCUUAGCAAUUCUUUUAAGAAAAAACCAAGCAUUUUGUUAAAGUCAGAAGUUGUUUUAUGUAUAACUCAUUUGAUAACUAUUUCCUCUAAUAAUCUCAGCAAACCUUUUGUAAAAUCGAAUCUGUUUUCAACUUAAAAGCUUAUGAAAAAAAUUAAAACAUAAUCGGUACAUUGUGUAAUAGGCUAGAGAAAACUAUCAUAACUCAAUAAGCUCUCGGUUCAUUUGCAAACUGUGAUAUCGGUUGAAAAGCUCAAACUAGUUGAGAUUUGAAAGCCUCAAGAAAUUACAAAUACAGCAUGCAAGUCAGAGUCCAUUUCUUAAGCUGUUUCUAUAUAAAUGCCCAAGACUGUUUAUGUUGUUCUGCUCAUAUGCUUGGGCCCACAUUAGUGGCCAUUUACAGCGUGUGCAUCUUGCUUAAAUUCAUCUGCCCAGUACCUGGCCCUUGCUCAAUGUCCCCCAUACCUCAUGCCUCAUGCCGCAUGCCGCAUGCCGCAUGUGUAAUAAUAAUAUACACACAGGUGUCCCAGGGUUCUGGCCGUGGGGCAACAUCAGCUUCGUACUUCAUCAAUAAGCGGCUGGGGCGAUGGCGCUGCAUGUAGCACAUGUAGCGGCGAUUACGCGUAAUAAUCAUCAUAAUCAAAAGUCGCAACACGAAAUGAGUUUUGACUUGUUGUUGUUGCUGCACAAGGAUAACCAGUUAGGGAUUGUUAUGGUCCAGCAGCGUUGCGCGCGCUCCAUAUAGAAUUGAUUAAUAUUGGCAUUGAGCAUAGGAAAUGCUCUCUGGCGUUGGUGGUUUUCGCCAUCUCAUUACAACGAUGCGGCCCAGUGAAUUUUGUGGUAUUAGGCGCAAACAACAAGGCAGGGCAGGGCAGUGGCAUACCAAAUUUAACUUGGAUUGUGGCGUGGGCUCAUAAAAAACAAAAAAAAAAAAACUUUAUUAAUCAUAAGUAUUAAGGAAGUGUUUUUCUCGAUGCUGCCUCAUAGUGAGAAGGUUGUUUUCCUGAUGCUAGGUUAAGGUUCAGUUUCCAGUUUUAGGCUGUUAUCCACUUGCUCCCAAUCAACCAGAAAAACAUUGUGGUAGCUCUUUUCAUUGAGGUAUAAUCGAAAAGGUUUAAGUCUUAAUUCUUGUUUGUCGAAAGACUGCAAAUCGGUUCGAGCCCGAAAUUAAAAGCAAUUUUUAAGAUGAAUCACAUCUUAAACCAAAUCAGCUGCUCAAAUAUAGCCGAACCCAAACCCCAAUGAACCUCAUUCUUUUUUUUUGGGUUGAGUCCAAAUAGAGAACUUUUAAAGCGUUUGAUACCUCUCUUAAUCAGUCUUCGCCUUCUCUAUGAACAACACGCUUUAUUGUCAAGUAAUUUCAAAUUAAAAAUUACAUUUUUGAUCGUAGUUUUUAAAAUAUAUGUUAUCAGAACCUGAGUUUAAGGGAAAUCAGGCUUACGAACCAAAUCUUAACCCAGGAAACUGGUUCAAACCAUAGCUGAACGGAAAGAACCAAAGCUUACUGCAGUGGAUCUCUUUGUUAGAGUCAUAAAUAGCUUAAAUCUAGCUACAAAAAAACGGUCAAUCAUUAUAGAGGACAUGAUUUUAUACCCUCUUAUGCUGAAUUCUUUUAUAGCUAGUCAUAUAUCCAAUUUUUCGUUUAAUUUUAGUUCUUAUUUACACGUAUCAGCGUACUCGCCAUAUCUCUUGCUUUUAUUGUAUCGCAUAUUUUUGCUUUUAUUUUAAUAUCUUGUUAGUCUCAUUUUUAUGGGACACUUCAUAACGCAGCUUGUCCAGUCAUAAUCUAUUCUUGACUCACUGAAGCCAAACCCAAUCUAACUAAAUGUAACCCACUCUGAUUUUCGAUGUAUAUCGCAUGCAUAUCCAGGUGGUGCAGAGCUGAGCUCCAUAAACGCAAAAAAUAAUAAUUAACUGACCAUCAAAUCAACAGCACGUACCUUCUACGUGAGCAUCAUUUUACGAGCUGGAACUCUGUACCGCCUCUCUAUGCCGCUUGAUUACUCAUUUGCGAUAUAGUAUGUGGAUAAGUUUGGGUCUAGGGCUACGUGCGAAAAUGAAAACUACUAAAACUUGGCCAGGUCAGAAAACUACAAUCAAAGUCAAUUGCUUUUUGAGGUAGGGGUGGAUACGGGAGAUAACUGCGAGUGCAAGCGUUUAAGUGCCAGCUACCGCACUUACCGCAUAAUUAAUAUGGCGAAAUGCAAGCCAGACAAACAGACUGACAGACUGACAGACAGGGCAGGACAAACAGAACAGGCUGGACAGGCAGAAAGGACAAUGCUGUCAGUGCAGUUACACGCACAGAACAUUUGCAUUUGAUUUACGCACUGAACAAUUCCUCAGAGCUCGCAAAUGCUCUUGAUGAGAGAUGGGUGCGUGAGAAGCUUACGAAAGGGGACUAAAUUAUUUAGUUUCACUAAUAAUUUGAUCACGUAAUUUUGAAUUUUUGUAUUGCAUUAAGAAACCUACGUAAUUUUCAUUCGUGUUAGCUAUUGUCGUGUUUGAUUGUUUUGGAUCAAAAAUAGCAUACAUUUAUUUUACAACACUGUUGGAUUAGGUGAGGUUUCGCCGAGCCUGUUCGAUUUUAUUAUGUCGUGUUAGGUCGUGCUUAGUUUUCGAACCUAGUCGAAUUUCUUAACACGAACAGGUCGUGUCUAGUCUAAUCUCUGCAUGAAGAGUUGUUCCACUGAAUUCGAGCACGCACCAUAUCAAGUUUUUCAACUUGAACACGUCGUGUCUGCUCUUAAAUGUUCGUGUCACGCGCUCAUCUCUGCACGCAGCACAGCCUCCAGGGCAAACAGGCCGUCGGUUCGCCCUUAAGGCAAAGUCAAGCCAUAAAACUUUGGCUUAAGUGCAAAUGCGCUCAAAUCUGCACUUAGACAAGUGACUGUGUUGCUUCUCUGUGUGUAUUAGUGUGUGUGUGUGUGUGUAUGUGUGUGUAUAUGUAUUACUAUAAUUAAAUUGAAAAUUACUGCCAAGCAAUUGCAAUUGUCCACACGACUGGACAGUGCACCCCGGUCUACAAUGUUAAUAAUAGGUAUGUGCUUGUGAGUGUGAGUGUGUGUGUGUGUGGGCUCUAAUCAUUGUCUGUCUGUGCAUCUGUCUAUGGCAAAAUGUAUCGGAGGUUCGGCCCCAGCCACGCAUAAGUUAUAAAUUAUGCAUAGAUGCAUAAUUUACAGCUCGUAAGGUCAGACAGUUGCAUUUGCCAACAGCGCACCCCCCAAGGACCGCUGCACAACUACCAUUAGUUGUCCUACUCCCUUGCAAUUUUGGUAAUAAACCUAAUGCUGCUAUGUUUCGUAACGCCCACUUUUCUGAAAGAGCACUCUGAGUGAGAGACCAUCAGAGAGCACGUAUUAAAAUGGACAAAAUAUUUAUCAAAAAAACAAUCUUGUUAUUUUCCAUUUCGUACUUGAUCUAAAUCUACCGAAAACUGAGCUCAUGUGCUCAGCCCUAGCUUGAAGCAAACUCUUAAAUCGUCUAAAAAUUAAAAUAUAUGUCAAGCUGUUUUCUUAAUUUGUCCAGCAUUUAUAUUCUGGAUUUUCAAUACAUUAGAUUUCAAUUUUAAAUUAAUUUUUUUUAAGAACAGUUUUAUUUAUAU